AGAGUUUGAUCAUGGCUCAGGACGAACGCUGGCGGCGUGGCUUAACACAUGCAAGUCGAACGAUGAAGCCCAGCUUGCUGGGUGGAUUAGUGGCGAACGGGUGAGUAACACGUGGGUGAUCUGCCCUGCACUCUGGGAUAAGCCUGGGAAACUGGGUCUAAUACCGGAUAGGACCUUCGGCCGCAUGGCUGGGGGUGGAAAGUUUUUCGGUGCAGGAUGAGCCCGCGGCCUAUCAGCUUGUUGGUGGGGUAAUGGCCUACCAAGGCGACGACGGGUAGCCGGCCUGAGAGGGCGACCGGCCACACUGGGACUGAGACACGGCCCAGACUCCUACGGGAGGCAGCAGUGGGGAAUAUUGCACAAUGGGCGCAAGCCUGAUGCAGCGACGCCGCGUGAGGGAUGACGGCCUUCGGGUUGUAAACCUCUUUCACCCAUGACGAAGCGCAAGUGACGGUAGUGGGAGAAGAAGCACCGGCCAACUACGUGCCAGCAGCCGCGGUAAUACGUAGGGUGCGAGCGUUGUCCGGAAUUACUGGGCGUAAAGAGCUCGUAGGCGGUUUGUCGCGUCGUCUGUGAAAACCCGCAGCUCAACUGCGGGCUUGCAGGCGAUACGGGCAGGCUCGAGUACUGCAGGGGAGACUGGAAUUCCUGGUGUAGCGGUGAAAUGCGCAGAUAUCAGGAGGAACACCGGUGGCGAAGGCGGGUCUCUGGGCAGUAACUGACGCUGAGGAGCGAAAGCGUGGGUAGCGAACAGGAUUAGAUACCCUGGUAGUCCACGCCGUAAACGGUGGGCGCUAGGUGUGGGUUUCCUUCCACGGGAUCCGUGCCGUAGCCAACGCAUUAAGCGCCCCGCCUGGGGAGUACGGCCGCAAGGCUAAAACUCAAAGGAAUUGACGG
This 897-nucleotide ribosomal RNA is filed under the name uncultured bacterium. Its description in RNAcentral is "bacterial SSU rRNA". It matches the Rfam family "Bacterial small subunit ribosomal RNA", at positions 8 to 916 of the family's 1533-position model. The record is from RNAcentral.